AGACUGGCGGCUGCCAGGGGAUAAGGAAGCAGUGGCAUUGGAAUUCAAGACUGUCUCUCUGACCUUCCUGAAUGACUCAGCAAUAUGAAGUUAAAAUCAGGUUCUUCUUUGGAAUUGGUGGCUGGCUGCUUGCUUAUGAGUGUAGACAUGUGACCCAAACACUCCUCCAUCACUGCUCUGUGGCCUCAGGUAAGAGAAGUUACACAUCGAAGAACUGGGUAAUCAUUCAGUUCCACAUCACUGAACUACCUCAGAGGAAACUUAAAAUGCUGCAAAAUCAUGAUUACUUAUCCAAAGAGUAUACUUAUCCAAAGGGUUUUACACUUACAUUUUUAGUGUCUGGAUGAAUCUGUUGAUAUAAUCAUUACUUUAAUCUCUUUCCUUGACUCAGUAAGAAACCAACUGGCAUGUUAUAUAUUACAUAUAUAGCUACCUUGUAUGGAAAUUUUAAAGAAUAAUAGUGUGGCUUUUAGGAUUGACUUACUAGAGAAAAUAAAUAAACAUAAGAUAAUAUUUUCAUCUAAAUUUAAAAAAUAUUUUCCUGCGAAGUAAGUCAUAUAUACAGA
This is a long non-coding RNA of Pan troglodytes (chimpanzee), 566 nucleotides long. RefSeq lists it as uncharacterized. The transcript has 3 exons. The record is from RefSeq and is a predicted model, not a curated record. NCBI's taxonomy places the organism in Eukaryota, Metazoa, Chordata, Mammalia, Primates, Hominidae.